Molecule: ribosomal RNA, 440 nt
Filed under: uncultured bacterium
Lineage: Bacteria
Description: partial 16S ribosomal RNA
Rfam family: Bacterial small subunit ribosomal RNA
Source: RNAcentral
CCUACGGGUGGCAGCAGUGGGGAAUAUUGCACAAUGGGGGAAACCCUGAUGCAGCGACGCCGCGUGAGUGAAGAAGCGCCUCGGCGCGUAAAGCUCUGUCAGCAGGGACGACGAUGACGGUACCUGAAGAAGAAGCCCCGGCUAACUACGUGCCAGCAGCCGCGGCAAAACGCAGGGGGAGAGCGUUAACCGGAUUUACUGGGGUUAAAGGGAGCGUAGACGGCGGGGCAAGUCUGGGGUGAAAGGCCGGGGCCCAAACCCGGGACCGCUGUGGAAACUGCCCGGCUGGAGUGCGGGAGAGGUAAGCGGAAUGCCUGGUGUAGCGGUGAAAUGCGUAGAUAUUAGGAGGAACACCAGCGGCGAAGGCGGCUUACUGGACCGUGACUGACGUUGAGGCACGAAAGCGUGGGGAGCAAACAGGAUUAGAUACCCGGGUAGUC